RNAcentral lists this long non-coding RNA (272 nucleotides) under Malus domestica (apple). RNAcentral describes it as "long non-coding RNA (MDOM_LNC015442)". The record is from RNAcentral. Lineage: Eukaryota; Viridiplantae; Streptophyta; Magnoliopsida; Rosales; Rosaceae.
GGCUUUGUCAAGUGAGAUACAAAACCCUAUAGUAGGAGUCCCCCAAGUUGCUGAGCUAGGAGAUUUGACGAAAGAGGUAACAGACAAGGUAAGCAAUCAGACUUCCAAGCAAGCAACCUGGAUCAGAGGUUCGACUUUGGCUUCCGGUUGAUUGUUCUCCUUUUCCUUGUGUCGUAAACAACAACAAGGAUAAGGAGAAGUAAAUGGAGAAGAGAUGAUAUGAGAUACUUUUGCUUUUGAAGAAGUAACUUUCCACAGGCUUAUUCUUGAAC